Limulus polyphemus (Atlantic horseshoe crab) is the source of this 2093-nucleotide RNA transcript. RefSeq lists it as uncharacterized. Lineage: Eukaryota; Metazoa; Arthropoda; Merostomata; Xiphosura; Limulidae. The transcript has 4 exons. The record is from RefSeq and is a predicted model, not a curated record.
GCUAGCUUGUGCAUAUUCUUCGCAAGGUGGAAAUUUUGGCUCCAUAAACGGUUGUGAGUUCAUCAAAAACGAGCUCAUGAUCAUUAAUUUUUGAAUGAGUUGGAUGGAAAUAAUUUUCGUUCGCGUAUGUCGUUUAACAGGGCUUAAACUCCGCCCUUUUGAGGAAAUUACCAUAUCACAUGGCCGUAGUAAACCAGUGAUAUGUCUAACCACUGAACGGCCGUUGGGACGUCACGAGAAAAUAUGACAGAGACGUAUUAUUUCAAUAUGGCGGCUGUUUUUGUGGUUAUGGCUUUGUACGAUUGACAAAGUUCAACUUCACAAGUUAUAACUUUAAUACAACUGAAAGCUUAAGUGUAAAAUGCAUUCAGAUAAAGAUGUAUUAGCGUGAGGAACUUCUAUCAAGACUGAAGUAAGAAAUGUCAGUAUACUGAAAGAACACUAACAAGUAAACACCACUGCUAGCUUUCUAUUUAAAUAAUCGGCCAAUUGAGCUUUACUGAAUCCCAUUGAAGUACAAAACGAUUAGGAGUUUGUUAUAUUUGGAUGAGUAAUAGCAUUUGAAGUUUGAAACUACUAAGCCCUUUGGAGUUCUGGGAAACUGUUGGUUUAUAGUGCGCAUGAUCAAGAUAAUUCCCUAACGCAGACUCACUCCUUGCUUACUGUUUCAUACUAUGCUAUUAGGCGAAAGGCAUCGUCGGCACCAGAUUCUUAGAACUCUAUAUGAAGACAUAUCUACAUAUGGAUCAAGUCGUCUAAUGCAGCACCUAUGGACUUUUGUGGAUUGGACUUUUGAAAUUGGCGCUGGUGGCCGAUUCAAGAGGGCGCUGUUGUUAUUUAUGAAACAAAUUCAAAACAGAAACACCUCGCAGUACAACAUAAUUAGAAUUAUUUUUUCUGUACAUAGUUCACAGGAUGAAUUUGAUGAUAGUCUUUAAAACUUCUUUAAGAUUGUGACAGAGAAUCAAACAAAUAAAUAACUUAUCUAUAAUGGUCAUUACUUUUAAAUUUGCCAUACAGUUGUUUCUGGUUAUUUUCUUCUUUUAAAAGUUAUAAAUAAAACUUCUACAUUUACCAUAUUUGUAUGAGCUUUUAUAGAAAAAAUCUUUGCUUUUCCUCUAUUAUUUGACUUCAAUGUACUUUUUUAGUAAUUCUUUAUUUGAAUAGCUGCUAAAAUUAAUAUUUUGUAGCUUUUCAAACAUUUUAUGGAACAACAACUCUUACGGUGAAAGUACAUGAAAUAAAGGGGUUGUCUUUACCUUCUAAAAUUGUCUGAGUUAUUGAAUUUCUGUAUUUGUGAAUAACUAUAAUGAUGAAAACUUUCUAGCUCAGUAAUCUAACUGUCGUAGUUAUUGAAACAGAACCUUACAAAACUAUACUUACAAUGUCGGUUCAUAGAACUGUCUAUUCAUUUCUUUUGAAUGUCUCAUAUAACGAAAAGGCUUUGUUUGAAUAUGAUUGUAGAGCUAGCUUUAUAUAAGUAGAAUGAGAAUAAAAGCAAUAUUUGCGAUGCAUCUGAGUGAUGAAGUUUCAAGUUGAACUAAUAUUUCAUCCUUUUCCCCUGACAAGCUAUUUUGUACCUUCAGUCAUUGUGAUGAAAAUGUGCAUGCCAAUACUGCUUCAUUAUAUAAGUAAUUACUAUUCAGGGCGAGAAUCGAAAAGUAAAUUGAAAUUUGAAAUUUCUACAACAAUCAUAGAAAGUAGCUUUUAAAGUCUAGACAUUUUGGAUGUUGUCGGUAUUAAACCACUGUAAGUGCUUACUACCUGGCUAAAUAUUGCCCUUAUAAAUCACCAAGUGUUUAUUACUUUGCUGUAUAUUGUUUGUAUUAAAUCACUGUAAUUGUUUACUUCCCAGCUCAAUAUUGUCUGUAUAAGUCACUAAAUGUUUACUACUGGCUGGAUCUUGUCUUGAUUAAAUCACGAUAUCUUUGGUACUGCCUGGUUGGAUAUUGUCUGUAUUAAAUCAUUGUAAGUGGUUACUACCUUUCUGGGUAUUGUCUGUGUUAAAUCAUUGUAAGUGUUUACUUCCUGGCUGCAUAUUGUCUUUAUUAAAUCACCGCAAGUGUUCAUUUAAAAUUUGACAGAAUUUCAUG